Molecule: ribosomal RNA, 253 nt
Filed under: uncultured bacterium
Lineage: Bacteria
Description: partial 16S ribosomal RNA
Rfam family: Bacterial small subunit ribosomal RNA
Source: RNAcentral
UACGUAGGGUGCAAGCGUUGUCCGGAAUUAUUGGGCGUAAAGAGCUCGUAGGCGGUUUGUCGCGUCUGCUGUGAAAACUCGGGGCUUAACCCCGGGCCUGCAGUGGGUACGGGCAGACUAGAGUGCGGUAGGGGAGACUGGAAUUCCUGGUGUAGCGGUGAAAUGCGCAGAUAUCAGGAGGAACACCGGUGGCGAAGGCGCCCACCUGGCCUGCUACUGACGCUGAAGCUCGAAAGCUAGGGGAGCAAACGGG